UACGGGGGGAGCAAGCGUUGUUCGGAUUUACUGGGCGUAAAGGGCGCGUAGGCGGCCACCGCAAGUCGACUGUGAAAUCUCCGGGCUUAACCCGGAACGGUCAGCCGAUACUGCGGGGCUAGAGUGCAGAAGGGGCAACUGGAAUUCUCGGUGUAGCGGUGAAAUGCGCAGAUAUCAGGAGGAACACCGGUGGCGAAGGCGGUUCUCUGGGCAUUACCUGACGCUGAGGAGCGAAAGUGUGGGGAGCGAACAGG
RNAcentral lists this ribosomal RNA (254 nucleotides) under uncultured bacterium. Its description in RNAcentral is "partial 16S ribosomal RNA". It matches the Rfam family "Bacterial small subunit ribosomal RNA", at positions 524 to 776 of the family's 1533-position model. The record is from RNAcentral.